Molecule: transfer RNA, 21 nt
Filed under: Arvicanthis nairobae (Nairobi grass rat)
Lineage: Eukaryota; Metazoa; Chordata; Mammalia; Rodentia; Muridae
Description: partial tRNA-Gln
Source: RNAcentral
GUUCGAUUCCUAUAGUCCUAG